Molecule: long non-coding RNA, 1410 nt
Organism: Alligator mississippiensis (American alligator)
Lineage: Eukaryota; Metazoa; Chordata; Crocodylia; Alligatoridae
Exons: 3
Source: RefSeq, a predicted model, not a curated record
AUGUGCGAGGCGGGAGGGGCCACGUGGGGAGUCUGUUUGUACCUUGCGGUUUCCUUGCUGGUCGGCGUGAGGGCGGGGCCGGCCCCGCGGGCGAGGAAGUAUACGUCUUGCGGGGAGAAAACAGGAAGGGGCCGGAAAGCGGCGGGUUCAUGUCAAAGGUUGCAAAACAAACACCUCCAAGUAAAGUGUCUUGCUUGACUUCUGCAGAGCUCCCGCCCUGCUGCUCCCUUCACAAUUCGUCCGUGCGCGGAGCAGGAGCCAGGGAACUGGCAGAGCGAGCGGCAAGCGGGAGAUUUGUUCAGCGAGAAAGAGAGACCCACAAAGCAGAGGAAAAACUGCCACAGCAGGCUACCUGAAACCAUUCCUCCAUAAUCACAUCCUUCUGACCUGAAGACUCCUGACUCGGGUUCCUUUGGCUUUUUCAGGGAGUACAAGUCCUUAUGUACACAAAUAAAUCCACACGAUUUUGUGAACUUAUAGGACUGGAGACUCAAUCAGUCCCUAUCCUACCACAACUUUUCAGAAACCUGCUGGGGCAAAAUCUUGAGUAUUUGGGAUUAUCAGUUGUUUCUUAAAAAAAUAAAAAUUGCUUUUAUCAACAGGGCUGGUCUUUAAAAAAGGUGGCAAAUCUUACCUAUUUUUCUUCUUGUACAAAUUGCUACAAAGAAUUGUUAUGUCUUCACAUUAAAACCUGCCCUACUUUUCAUUCUUUUUCUGCAUAUGAAAGAAUUUUGAAGACAAAAAACAACAGCUAAAGCCUAAUAUGAAGCCAAGUAAAAUCAAUGGGAGUCUGUCCAUUGAGUUAAAUGGACUUGGAUCAGGUCCCUAGUUAGAGCUGGUAGGCAUUGCAAUUGAAAUUUAAACUUUUAAUGGAAAUAAUUGAUUUCAAUGAAAAUUCACUGGGGAUGUUAGCUGGCUUCAAGAUGAAUUUUCUAUUCAAAACAAAGAAUCACCCCAGAAUAGUGAAGACAUUCUCUUGGGAAUAUGGGAUCCCAGGUUCAAGGCUCUAUUCUGCCUAAUUCAGAAACUUGAACCUGUUGCUCAUAUCCUAGCUUGGUGGUGGCCCUCCCUGAAAGCCAUACCAAUCUCUUUCUCUUGCCUGAUCUGUAGGGGUGCACCGAUAGAGAUUUUUGGGCCCAAUACUGAUAGCUGAUUUUUAAGGAGGCAUACUGGCCAAUACCGGUCCAAUUUCUGAUACAGUGUGGAGAGCUGCAUGCAGCUGAGCAACACCCCCACCGGGACAGACUGAUAUAAAGUUCCAGCUAAGUUUCAUUGACUGGUCACUCAAAUACAAUGUGUUCUCUCUGUUGACAAAUUGCAUUUAAAGAAAUAAAUGGGCUCUCUUAUUGUGGAUAAUUGAAUCAAUAUAAACUGUUGUAGAAACAGAAAUAACUCUCUCCUCUUAGAAUA